RNAcentral lists this ribosomal RNA (517 nucleotides) under uncultured bacterium. Its description in RNAcentral is "bacterial SSU rRNA". It matches the Rfam family "Bacterial small subunit ribosomal RNA", at positions 501 to 1016 of the family's 1533-position model. The record is from RNAcentral.
CUACGUGCCAGCAGCCGCGGUAAUACGUAGGUGGCAAGCGUUGUCCGGAAUUAUUGGGCGUAAAGCGCGCGCAGGCGGAUUGGUCAGUCUGUCUUAAAAGUUCGGGGCUUAACCCCGUGAUGGGAUGGAAACUGCCAAUCUAGAGUAUCGGAGAGGAAAGUGGAAUUCCUAGUGUAGCGGUGAAAUGCGUAGAUAUUAGGAAGAACACCAGUGGCGAAGGCGACUUUCUGGACGAAAACUGACGCUGAGGCGCGAAAGCCAGGGGAGCGAACGGGAUUAGAUACCCUGGUAGUCCACGCCGUAAACGAUGAGUGCUAGGUGUUAGACCCUUUCCGGGGUUUAGUGCCGUAGCUAACGCAUUAAGCACUCCGCCUGGGGAGUACGACCGCAAGGUUGAAACUCAAAGGAAUUGACGGGGGCCCGCACAAGCGGUGGAGCACGUGGUUUAAUUCGAAGCAACGCGAAGAACCUUACCAGGUCUUGACAUCCCUCUGACCGCUCUAGAGAUAGAGUUUUC